RNAcentral lists this ribosomal RNA (464 nucleotides) under uncultured Klebsiella sp. RNAcentral describes it as "bacterial SSU rRNA". It matches the Rfam family "Bacterial small subunit ribosomal RNA", at positions 339 to 795 of the family's 1533-position model. Lineage: Bacteria; Pseudomonadati; Pseudomonadota; Gammaproteobacteria; Enterobacterales; Enterobacteriaceae. The record is from RNAcentral.
CUACGGGGGGCAGCAGUGGGGAAUAUUGCACAAUGGGCGCAAGCCUGAUGCAGCCAUGCCGCGUGUGUGAAGAAGGCCUUCGGGUUGUAAAGCACUUUCAGCGGGGAGGAAGGCGUUAAGGUUAAUAACCUUGGCGAUUGACGUUACCCGCAGAAGAAGCACCGGCUAACUCCGUGCCAGCAGCCGCGGUAAUACGGAGGGUGCAAGCGUUAAUCGGAAUUACUGGGCGUAAAGCGCACGCAGGCGGUCUGUCAAGUCGGAUGUGAAAUCCCCGGGCUCAACCGGGGAACUGCAUUCGAAACUGGCAGGCUAGAGUCGUGUAGAGGGGGGUAGAAUUCCAGGUGUAGCGGUGAAAUGCGUAGAGAUCUGGAGGAAUACCGGUGGCGAAGGCGGCCCCCUGGACAAAGACUGACGCUCAGGUGCGAAAGCGUGGGGAGCAAACAGGAUUAGAUACCCGAGUAGUC